This 253-nucleotide ribosomal RNA is filed under the name uncultured Phenylobacterium sp. Its description in RNAcentral is "partial 16S ribosomal RNA". It matches the Rfam family "Bacterial small subunit ribosomal RNA", at positions 524 to 776 of the family's 1533-position model. The record is from RNAcentral. Lineage: Bacteria; Pseudomonadati; Pseudomonadota; Alphaproteobacteria; Caulobacterales; Caulobacteraceae.
UACGAAGGGGGCUAGCGUUGCUCGGAAUUACUGGGCGUAAAGGGCGCGUAGGCGGAUAUCUAAGUCGGGGGUGAAAGCCCGGGGCUCAACCCCGGAAUUGCCUUCGAUACUGGAUAUCUUGAGUACGGGAGAGGUGAGUGGAACUCCGAGUGUAGAGGUGAAAUUCGUAGAUAUUCGGAAGAACACCAGUGGCGAAGGCGACUCACUGGCCCGUUACUGACGCUGAGGCGCGAAAGCGUGGGGAGCAAACAGG